GAAUCCUCUGGCUCUGGAUUUGCCUGGAUGACAAACGUGAAGACAACCAUUCUACCCCAAGAAGAGACCCUUGCUGAGAAACAUGCAAUAUCCUCCAUAAAGACUUGCUGUUGAGAAAUGAUUGCACACAGUCCCACAGUGAGAGUGAAAGAGAAAGGAGAAGAAAAACAAGGAGGAGGAGGAGAAGAAGGAGACAGAGAGGAGCAGGAGGAGAAGGAGAAGAAGGAGAGGAAGAGGAAGAACCACCACUGACUGAGUUGUGAUCAUGUGCUGUUAAAAGUGAAGAGGCUGUGGCCCUGUCCUUCACCCCUGGAACAUGGUGCCUCCUGCGGAUUCACUUGGUGAUAAUGUCUCCAGGCCCAUAUGCAUCCCAGAGAGGUCAGCCUCAGGAGGACACCUUGAUCCUCAGCACUGAGACACAUUUGCCAAGGCCUUUAGAAGUGAUUUUAUCCACAUCUGAAGAGUCAGAAUCUAAUUCUGACUGAUCACAAAAGGUCGAGUCUAAACCUUACAACAAAGCUGCUUAGGCCAAAUCAAGAGAAAUUCCUUAUGCCAAAGUGACGUAUUUGGGGAUGGCAUAUUCUGCCAUGCUUCAGUGGGUAAAGAGGAAUCUUCAGUAAAGGUGAACAUUUCUAGGUUCUGCUUCAAUGGGAAAACCUGCCAGUCUGCCCUCCCCUCUGACAUUUUGAUAGUUGGCUUUGAAACAAACUCAAGCUUAGUUGGGUUUCUUAGACAUUCAGAGGUAAGACUGAAUAUUUUACCAGAACUGGUCCUGCUAGCUUUGGGUAGGUGCCACUUUGUUUCAGACAACAAGAAGCACACCCCACAAUGUGAUGUGGGAAAGAGAGUAUCUGACCAAGAGUCGCAAGACCCAGGUCAGGUCCCGCCUCUACAAGCAACAAGCAUGGAAUCACCCUCUGGGUCCAUUACUCUGUCUUUGAAAUGGGAUACUUCUUACUGUAUCCCAAAAUUAUAUUGUGCACAAAUAUUACAAGAUGGCUCAAAUCAUUUAUAAUCCUUUGGAAAAGAA
This 1030-nucleotide long non-coding RNA is filed under the name Chinchilla lanigera (long-tailed chinchilla). RNAcentral describes it as "lncRNA (ENSCLAG00000023262.1)". The record is from RNAcentral. Lineage: Eukaryota; Metazoa; Chordata; Mammalia; Rodentia; Chinchillidae.